This 19-nucleotide ribosomal RNA is filed under the name Colletotrichum truncatum. Its description in RNAcentral is "partial 18S ribosomal RNA". RNAcentral also lists the same sequence under 66 other names. Lineage: Eukaryota; Fungi; Ascomycota; Sordariomycetes; Glomerellales; Glomerellaceae. The record is from RNAcentral.
ACCUGCGGAGGGAUCAUUA